UUUAUGGAGAGUUUGAUCCUGGCUCAGGAUGAACGCUGGCGGCGUGCCUAAUACAUGCAAGUCGAGCGAACGGACGAGAAGCUUGCUUCUCUGAUGUUAGCGGCGGACGGGUGAGUAACACGUGGAUAACCUACCUAUAAGACUGGGAUAACUUCGGGAAACCGUAGCUAAUACCGGAUAAUAUUUUGAACCGCAUGGUUCAAAAGUGAAAGACGGUCUUGCUGUCACUUAUAGAUGGAUCCGCGCUGCAUUAGCUAGUUGGUAAGGUAACGGCUUACCAAGGCAACGAUGCAUAGCCGACCUGAGAGGGUGAUCGGCCACACUGGAACUGAGACACGGUCCAGACUCCUACGGGAGGCAGCAGUAGGGAAUCUUCCGCAAUGGGCGAAAGCCUGACGGAGCAACGCCGCGUGAGUGAUGAAGGUCUUCGGAUCGUAAAACUCUGUUAUUAGGGAAGAACAUAUGUGUAAGUAACUGUGCACAUCUUGACGGUACCUAAUCAGAAAGCCACGGCUAACUACGUGCCAGCAGCCGCGGUAAUACGUAGGUGGCAAGCGUUAUCCGGAAUUAUUGGGCGUAAAGCGCGCGUAGGCGGUUUUUUAAGUCUGAUGUGAAAGCCCACGGCUCAACCGUGGAGGGUCAUUGGAAACUGGAAAACUUGAGUGCAGAAGAGGAAAGUGGAAUUCCAUGUGUAGCGGUGAAAUGCGCAGAGAUAUGGAGGAACACCAGUGGCGAAGGCGACUUUCUGGUCUGUAACUGACGCUGAUGUGCGAAAGCGUGGGGAUCAAACAGGAUUAGAUACCCUGGUAGUCCACGCCGUAAACGAUGAGUGCUAAGUGUUAGGGGGUUUCCGCCCUUAGUGCUGCAGCUAACGCAUUAAGCACUCCGCCUGGGGAGUACGACCGCAAGGUUGAAACUCAAAGGAAUUGACGGGGACCCGCACAAGCGGUGGAGCAUGUGGUUUAAUUCGAAGCAACGCGAAGAACCUUACCAAAUCUUGACAUCCUUUGACAACUCUAGAGAUAGAGCCUUCCCCUUCGGGGGACAAAGUGACAGGUGGUGCAUGGUUGUCGUCAGCUCGUGUCGUGAGAUGUUGGGUUAAGUCCCGCAACGAGCGCAACCCUUAAGCUUAGUUGCCAUCAUUAAGUUGGGCACUCUAAGUUGACUGCCGGUGACAAACCGGAGGAAGGUGGGGAUGACGUCAAAUCAUCAUGCCCCUUAUGAUUUGGGCUACACACGUGCUACAAUGGACAAUACAAAGGGCAGCGAAACCGCGAGGUCAAGCAAAUCCCAUAAAGUUGUUCUCAGUUCGGAUUGUAGUCUGCAACUCGACUACAUGAAGCUGGAAUCGCUAGUAAUCGUAGAUCAGCAUGCUACGGUGAAUACGUUCCCGGGUCUUGUACACACCGCCCGUCACACCACGAGAGUUUGUAACACCCGAAGCCGGUGGAGUAACCUUUUAGGAGCUAGCCGUCGAAGGUGGGACAAAUGAUUGGGGUGAAGUCGUAACAAGGUAGCCGUAUCGGAAGGUGCGGCUGGAUCACCUCCUUUCU
RNAcentral lists this ribosomal RNA (1553 nucleotides) under Staphylococcus aureus. Its description in RNAcentral is "16S ribosomal RNA". It matches the Rfam family "Bacterial small subunit ribosomal RNA". Lineage: Bacteria; Bacillati; Bacillota; Bacilli; Caryophanales; Staphylococcaceae. The record is from RNAcentral.